CACUCCUGCGGGAGGCAGCAGUGGGGAAUUUUGGACAAUGGGCGAAAGCCUGAUCCAGCAAUGCCGCGUGAGUGAAGAAGGCCUUCGGGUUGUAAAGCUCUUUUGUCAGGGAAGAAACGGUGAAAGCUAAUAUCUUUUGCUAAUGACGGUACCUGAAGAAUAAGCACCGGCUAACUACGUGCCAGCAGCCGCGGUAAUACGUAGGGUGCAAGCGUUAAUCGGAAUUACUGGGCGUAAAGCGUGCGCAGGCGGUUUUGUAAGUCUGAUGUGAAAUCCCCGGGCUCAACCUGGGAAGUGCAUUGGAGACUGCAAGGCUAGAAUCUGGAAGAGGGGGGUAGAAUUCCACGUGUAGCAGUGAAAUGCGUAGAUAUGUGGAGGAACACCGAUGGCGAAGGCAGCCCCCUGGGUCAAGAUUGACGCUCAUGCACGAAAGCGUGGGGAGCAAACAGGAUUAGAUACCCUUGUAGUCCC
This 471-nucleotide ribosomal RNA is filed under the name uncultured organism. RNAcentral describes it as "partial 16S ribosomal RNA". It matches the Rfam family "Bacterial small subunit ribosomal RNA", at positions 334 to 797 of the family's 1533-position model. The record is from RNAcentral.